RNAcentral lists this ribosomal RNA (423 nucleotides) under uncultured Glomeromycotina. RNAcentral's name for it is "SSU rRNA". It matches the Rfam family "Eukaryotic small subunit ribosomal RNA", at positions 671 to 1092 of the family's 1831-position model. The record is from RNAcentral. Lineage: Eukaryota; Fungi; Glomeromycota.
AUGGUAUGCACUGGCUCGCUGACUCCUCCUUCUUGUAGAACCGUAAUGCCAUUAAUUUGGUGUUGCGGGGAAACAGGACUGUUACUUUGAAAAAAUUAGAGAGUUUAAAGCAGGCCAACGCCUGAAUACAUUAGCAUGGAAUAAUGAAAUAGGACGUUCGAACCUAUUUUGUUGGUUUCUAGGAUUGACGUAAUGAUUAAUAGGGAUAGUUGGGGGCAUUAGUAUUCAAUUGUCAGAGGUGAAAUUCUUGGAUUUAUUGAAGACUGACUACUGCGAAAGCAUUUGCCAAGGAUGUUUUCAUUAAUCAAGAACGAAAGUUAGGGGAUCGAAGACGAUCAGAUACCGUCGUAGUCUUAACCACAAACUAUGCCGACUAGGGAUCGGAUGAUGUUAAUUUUUUAAUGACUCAUUCGGCGCCUUACG